This 72-nucleotide transfer RNA is filed under the name Ovis aries (sheep). It matches the Rfam family "tRNA". From Rfam's summary of the family: Transfer RNA (tRNA) molecules are approximately 80 nucleotides in length. Their secondary structure includes four short double-helical elements and three loops (D, anti-codon, and T loops). Further hydrogen bonds mediate the characteristic L-shaped molecular structure. tRNAs have two regions of fundamental functional importance: the anti-codon, which is responsible for specific mRNA codon recognition, and the 3' end, to which the tRNAs corresponding amino acid is attached (by aminoacyl-tRNA synthetases). tRNAs cope with the degeneracy of the genetic code in two manners: having more than one tRNA (with a specific anti-codon) for a particular amino acid; and 'wobble' base-pairing, i.e. permitting non-standard base-pairing at the 3rd anti-codon position. Lineage: Eukaryota; Metazoa; Chordata; Mammalia; Artiodactyla; Bovidae. The record is from Rfam by way of RNAcentral.
UCUCUGGUGGCUCAUACGGUAAGGAGUCUGCCUAUAAUGCAGGAGACCCAGGUUCAAUCCCUGGCUUGCGAA